GAAUUCUGAUGUCCGAUUACCCAUCGGAUUUGGACUCAAUAUUUAUGAGAGAUUUAAUUAGUGAUUUGAUCACUAAUUAACUCAAUUUUAUUGAGUAAUUAUUUUUGGAUCAAGUCCAAUUGAAUUGGAUUCAGUUGGAUUUGACCCGAUUAGGUUAAGAGUUGACCUAAUCGUCGAGAUGGUUUGAUCCCUGAUUUGAUCAGGGGUUGGGCUUAAUCAAUUCCUGAUUUGAUUAGGAUUUUAUUGAGCCUAA
This 253-nucleotide long non-coding RNA is filed under the name Elaeis guineensis (African oil palm). RNAcentral's name for it is "long non-coding RNA (EGUI_LNC061774)". The record is from RNAcentral. Lineage: Eukaryota; Viridiplantae; Streptophyta; Magnoliopsida; Arecales; Arecaceae.